CAACUGGAGGCACACACAGUGUAUGGAUCUGUGCAAAUUUGCUUAAGAAGAAGAAAAUAAGGAAGAUCCAGAGCUGACUGACCCAUGUGGACUUACGGAUGAUGAACUCAAGGCCAAACUGCUCAAAUAUUUAGUCGAAGCUAGACCCAUUGUAGCCACCACCAGGUCUAUCUAUGAGAGGAAGCUAAAAGGCUACUAGAACCUACCCAGCCCAGACAGAAUGGUGGCACAGGAUAUGCAAACCAGUACUAUGACAGUGAAGAAGAGGAGGAAGAGUGGGGUUCAGAACAAGGAAGACCAGAGCAGUGGAGGAAUAUCAGCAUGCUAAUGAUCAGAUGGUAUGGCACUCUCAGGAAUAAUAAAAACAUCAGUGUUUUAUGCCAUCGUCGAGAAUGCGGGUCUGGAGAGCUCCAGGCCACUAUGAAUUAAAUCCCAAGAGGAAUGCAGGGAAUCAUGGGAAUGUGGCUGAGUCUUCCAACAGCAGAGGGGAAGUACCGGGGGCAGUUGCCCCCAUCGCCUGUUACUCCUGGGUACAGAGCUGGACUGAGCAGAACAUCCUCUCUGCUAGGACAUACCACAGGAUCAGUGGUAACCCUUCUAGAAAAACUCACUCAUUAACUCUUCAAUGGGAAUGGGAUCUCUGCUCUUC
Long non-coding RNA from Oncorhynchus tshawytscha (Chinook salmon), 649 nucleotides. The record is from Ensembl. NCBI's taxonomy places the organism in Eukaryota, Metazoa, Chordata, Actinopteri, Salmoniformes, Salmonidae.